CAGUCGCCGCGGUAAUACGUAGGUGGCAAGCGUUGUCCGGAAUUAUUGGGCGUAAAGGGCUCGCAGGCGGUUUCUUAAGUCUGAUGUGAAAGCCCCCGGCUCAACCGGGGAGGGUCAUUGGAAACUGGGAAACUUGAGUGCAGAAGAGGAGAGUGGAAUUCCACGUGUAGCGGCGAAAUGCGUAGAGAUGUGGAGGAACACCAGUGGCGAAGGCGACUCUUUGGUCUGUAACUGACGCUGAGGAGCGAAAGCGUGGGGAGCGAACAGGAUUAGAUACCCGCGUAGUCCCUGUCUCUUAUAA
RNAcentral lists this ribosomal RNA (301 nucleotides) under uncultured bacterium. RNAcentral describes it as "partial 16S ribosomal RNA". It matches the Rfam family "Bacterial small subunit ribosomal RNA", at positions 509 to 809 of the family's 1533-position model. The record is from RNAcentral.